UAGCAUAUCAAUAAGCGGAGGAAAAGAAACCAACAGGGAUUGCCCCAGUAACGGCGAGUGAAGCGGCAACAGCUCAAAUUUGAAAUCUGGCCCCCCAGGGUCCGAGUUGUAAUUUGCAGAGGAUGCUUUUGGCAAGGUGCCUUCCGAGUUCCCUGGAACGGGACGCCAUAGAGGGUGAGAGCCCCGUCUGGUUGGAUACCGAGCCUCUGUAAAGCUCUUUCGACGAGUCGAGUAGUUUGGGAAUGCUGCUCUAAAUGGGAGGUAUAUGUCUUCUAAAGCUAAAUAUUGGCCAGAGACCGAUAGCGCACAAGUAGAGUGAUCGAAAGAUGAAAAGCACUUUGAAAAGAGGGUUAAAUAGUACGUGAAAUUGUUGAAAGGGAAGCGCUCAUGACCAGACUUGGGCCCGGUGAAUCAUCCAGCGCUCGUCGCUGGUGCACUUUGCCGGGCUCAGGCCAGCAUCAGUUCGCUCCGGGGGACAAAGGCUCUGGGAAUGUGGCUCCUCCGGGAGUGUUAUAGCCCACUGCGCAAUACCCUGGGGCGGACUGAGGUUCGCGCAUUCGUGCAAGGAUGCUGGCGUAAUGGUCAUCAGUGACCCGUCUUGAAACACGGACCAAGGAGUCGUCUUCGUAUGCAAGUGUUCGGGUGUAAAACCCCUACGCGUAAUGAAAGUGAACGCAGGUGAGAGCUUCGGCGCAUCAUCGACCGAUCCUGAUGUUCUCGGAUGGAUUUGAGUAAGAGCAUACGGGGCCGGACCCGAAAGAAGGUGAACUAUGCCUGUAUAGGGUGAAGCCAGAGGAAACUCUGGUGGAGGCUCGCAGCGGUUCUGACGUGCAAAUCGAUCGUCAAAUAUGGGCAUGGGGGCGAAAGACUAAUCGAACCUUCUAGUAGCUGGUUUCCGCCGA
This 902-nucleotide ribosomal RNA is filed under the name Keithomyces carneus. RNAcentral describes it as "partial large subunit ribosomal RNA". It matches the Rfam family "Eukaryotic large subunit ribosomal RNA", at positions 36 to 964 of the family's 3401-position model. Lineage: Eukaryota; Fungi; Ascomycota; Sordariomycetes; Hypocreales; Clavicipitaceae. The record is from RNAcentral.